CACAGCGAUUCAGUUUGAGCCAAGAAGCAAUACAGAACGGCAAGAAAACAGGAACAUUGAUCGUCAUUUGCUUUAAUCCGAAACCGAGAUCGUCUGGAGGAAGAAACAUGGCGUCGUUUGUGUGUGUUAUUUUUACGCUAAUUUUCUUCCUGGUUACGACCUGCUCAGCAUUACGGGUCGAAGACGAAUUAUCCUCGGUCUAUGGGAUUAUGGUUCUGCCUAUAAUCGCCUUCUGCCUCAUCAUCUACCUGGAACUGCGGAGAGGACCAUGAGCUGAGCGACGAAAAUAUGAGAAGAGGACGAAGACUGAAAAUAUACUUGUGGAUCACUUACAAGAAUUCACUCAGUUUUCUGUUAUUUUAAACAUAUUUUUUUCUCUCUCUAAUUUCCCUUGAAUUCCAACGAUAUUUUUUACUAUUGCUUUUGUUUAGAUUAUUUUAUUGUCUUCUCCCAUUUAAUAUGAUUCUUUUCUGAUUUUCCUAAACUGUUCUUUUCUUGUGUAGUUAAUAAAUGUGAAUAUAUUUUUAA
Molecule: long non-coding RNA, 528 nt
Organism: Penaeus indicus
Lineage: Eukaryota; Metazoa; Arthropoda; Malacostraca; Decapoda; Penaeidae
Exons: 3
Source: RefSeq, a predicted model, not a curated record